RNAcentral lists this ribosomal RNA (402 nucleotides) under uncultured Methanosaeta sp. Its description in RNAcentral is "bacterial SSU rRNA". It matches the Rfam family "Archaeal small subunit ribosomal RNA", at positions 937 to 1338 of the family's 1478-position model. The record is from RNAcentral. Lineage: Archaea; Methanobacteriati; Methanobacteriota; Methanomicrobia; Methanotrichales; Methanotrichaceae.
CGACAGCAAUAUGAAGGUCAGGCUGAAGACCUUACCCGAUUAGCUGAGAGGUGGUGCAUGGCCGUCGUCAGUUCGUACUGUGAAGCAUCCUGUUAAGUCAGGCAACGAGCGAGACCCACGUCCACAGUUGCCAGCAUACCCUCCGGGGUGAUGGGUACACUGUGGAGACCGCCGCUGCUAAAGCGGAGGAAGGAGUGGGCAACGGUAGGUCAGUAUGCCCCGAAUCUCCCGGGCUACACGCGGGCUACAAUGGUUGGUACAAUGGGCAUCUACCCCGAAAGGGGAAGGAAAUCUCUUAAAGCCAAUCGUAGUUCGGAUUGAGGGCUGCAACUCGCCCUCAUGAAGCUGGAAUCCGUAGUAAUCGCGUUACAACAGAACGCGGUGAAUACGUCCCUGCUCCUU